GUUGUUGUUGUUAUUAUUAUUAUGAUAAAAUUUCUUCUUAGGGAAAAACCUCCUGGCCUUUAAGCGAUUUUGUUGUUGUAAAUCAUUUAACGUAGGUGGCUUAUACCCGCCUUGAUUUCCAACAAUUCCUCCGGCAAUACUACUACCACUACCGCUAGUUCCAAUCUCGUUCCUCCUAACUCCAUCCAUUCUCUUAUCCUUCUUAUUUACCUUUUUACCCUUCCAAUUGUUUCUAGGACCCAAGGGUUUGGGAUGCUUUCCAGGAACAAAUUGCUUCAAAUUAUGAUUAUUAGGGUUUUGAAAUUUGAGUUGAUCCACCAUAGACGGCGGUGGCAUAGGCGGCUGCGGCCACAUCCUAUAGCUCCGAUUCAUCAUCUGAGGCUGCUGCUGCUGUGGUUGUUGUUGAAGCUGUGGAUUCAAGAUCUGAGGUUGACUCAUACUUAUCAUUUGGUUUUGACCCAUACUCAUCCUCUGUUGUUGGUUCAUCAUUUUUACUUGCUCAUUCAUUUCUCCAAAAACCACCAAAAACCCCUAAAUUCAGUUUAAUCUUUUGAUGAUUUUUUCUUCCUUUUAUUCGAUUAUUCGAUUCUUCUUCUUUAAAUUUCGAUCGGUAUUUUUUUCGUGAUCUUUG
Molecule: unclassified non-coding RNA, 631 nt
Filed under: Hevea brasiliensis (rubber tree)
Lineage: Eukaryota; Viridiplantae; Streptophyta; Magnoliopsida; Malpighiales; Euphorbiaceae
Source: RNAcentral